AUACGGAGGGUCCAAGCGUUAUCCGGAUUCAUUGGGUUUAAAGGGUCCGCAGGCGGGAAAAUAAGUCAGUGGUGAAAGCCUACAGCUCAACUGUAGAACUGCCAUUGAUACUGUUUUUCUUGAGUAUAGAUGAAGUGGGCGGAAUAUAUCAUGUAGCGGUGAAAUGCAUAGAUAUGAUAUAGAACACCGAUUGCGAAGGCAGCUCACUAAACUAUUACUGACGCUCAGGGACGAAAGCGUGGGGAGCAAACAGGAUUAGAUACCCUAGUAGUCC
This 274-nucleotide ribosomal RNA is filed under the name uncultured bacterium. Its description in RNAcentral is "partial 16S ribosomal RNA". It matches the Rfam family "Bacterial small subunit ribosomal RNA", at positions 523 to 796 of the family's 1533-position model. The record is from RNAcentral.